This is a small nucleolar RNA of Mustela putorius furo (domestic ferret), 134 nucleotides long. Lineage: Eukaryota; Metazoa; Chordata; Mammalia; Carnivora; Mustelidae. The record is from Ensembl.
ACUCUCUCAGCUCUGCACGGUCACACUUGAUACCACGCGUGUGGCUUUCGUAAUCGGGAGAGAAAGGAAGGACCUCCUCGGGACCUCCAAGUGGCCUCACAGUGGCCACCCUUUCCUCGAGGGGUGCCACAGAU